This 439-nucleotide long non-coding RNA is filed under the name Nicotiana benthamiana. RNAcentral's name for it is "long non-coding RNA (NBEN_LNC028055)". Lineage: Eukaryota; Viridiplantae; Streptophyta; Magnoliopsida; Solanales; Solanaceae. The record is from RNAcentral.
AGCAUUUAAAGCUGAAAAUGGUGAAAAUAAGGCAAAUGGACCUCAAAAAGCUAUAGUUGCAUCAACAGCUAACCAGUCCAAAGGGUUUCCUGAGGGUGAAAGCAAGGGUGAUAUGUUAAUGGCACUAGAAAGCCUUGGCAAGCAAGUUGCCAGGUCUAGUGUUGGUAGAUGAGCAAGCAAAAGCUUUAAUGGCACUAGAAAGCCUUGGAAAGCAAGUUUCCAGGUCUAGUGUGGUAGAUGAGCAAGCAAAAGCAGAAGAAGAGUUCAAGAAAUCACUGUACGUAUCUGCUGCUGAUGGUACCAGCAGUGAUGAAGAAGAAACGUCAAAAACGAAAAAACUACACAUACGAAUUAGAGACAAGCCUGUUACAUCUGCUACAGUGGACGUGAACAAGAUUAAAGAAGCCACAAAACAGUUGGGCCUGCCGAUUAGUAGAAC